This is a long non-coding RNA of Nyctereutes procyonoides (raccoon dog), 2721 nucleotides long. RefSeq lists it as uncharacterized. The transcript has 3 exons. NCBI's taxonomy places the organism in Eukaryota, Metazoa, Chordata, Mammalia, Carnivora, Canidae. The record is from RefSeq and is a predicted model, not a curated record.
GCUAACCUCGGACGCCUGCUGCCGCCGCCCUCUCUCCGGUGGUGGUGCAGCCCUGGUGCGGCUGGCGAGAGGCCCGCCGAGGCUCCCAGGCGCCCCCGCUCUCCACACCUGGAUGCAAUUCCUGGAAGAGCUGAACUGCCAAGCCCACCUGGCCCUCCACUUGGCUGGGGACGGGCACGGCCCCGCAGGUCUCUGCGUCUGUUACCUGGGCCCCUACGUCUCCCGCGCUCUGCCACUGGCACUGGCACCCUCGAGUCGCCCUGACUGAGAGUCUUUGGGUCCCAUUUGACGCGGACUCUUCCUAAUGGAAGGGACCCUGAACUUGUGCGGACAGUCACACAUUCACUCUACGGAUAAGGACACUGGCUCAGAGAUGGUGAAGUGACUAAGGAGGGGUAGAGUCAAACAGCCAGGAAGGCCAGGAACAUGGACUAGAACUUGGGUGUCUCAUCUCCGUGGAUCCAUGAUGCUGGAAAAUAACAUUUAUUGAGCUCUGUUCAUGUUCCCACACGGAUCCAGACACUAUAUUACUAUCUUCAGUUGGAACAACCCUAAGAAUAGAUUGGCCUGUGAUGUGUAUACUCUGCUACCCUAGAAGAAGAAUCUAGGUCUGACUUGAAAACAGAAGUGGAGAAGGAGUGUGCUCCAUGUGGGCCUGCAAGUCCUAGGAGAGAAGAGACUGGACUGUGGUUUGGCAGACACUUCAUCACAUCUCACCAACUGAGUUAUGAGUUCGGUGAGGGGAGAAAGAGACCAGAAGUAUUCUUCUGGUAGAGUUUUAUCUUGGAGAAUGGAGCAGAAUCCUUCCUCUCCAUGAAAACUUAAAACUUAAAGAAUGAGAUAUCCACUUUUCUUCCCAUACCAUCCAUGUUUCUGGUGAAGCUUAAGAAGUGGCCCUAAUUUGUCAAAACGUAAUUAUCAGCUCUCUUGUCACAGAUGGGUGAAGCUAAAGCCUAUCAAUGCAUAACAAUUUCCUAGCCGUAGAAUUUGGUUCUGGUAUAUGUACUGCCGAAGUGAGCACAAGAAUUUGGUUCUGGAAAGGUCAUGUAACCCAGUGGAAGGCAAGUGGAUUCCGGGGGACUUCUGGGAAAUGUCCUAAAUUUUAAGAUGGUCCCUUUUAGAGGUAAAGGAUCUAUACCCUAAAAACUACAGAACACUUCUGAAAGAAAUUGAGGAAGACACAAAGAGAUGGGAAACUAUUCCAUGCUCAUGGAUUGGAAGAAUUAAUAUUGUGAAAAUGUCAAUGUUACCCAGGGCAACUUAUAUGUUUAAUGCAAUCCCUAUCAAAAUACCAUGGACUUUCUUCAGAGAGUUAGGACAAAUCAUCUUAAGAUUUGUGUGGAAUCAGAAAAGACCCUGAAUAGCCAGGGGAAUUUUAAAAAAGAAAACCAUAGCUGGGGGCAUCACAAUGCCAGAUUUCACGUUGUACUACAAAGCGGUGGUCAUCAAGACAGUGUAGUACUGGCACAAAAACAGACACAGAUCAAUGGAACAGAAUAGAGAAUCCAGAAGUGGACCCUCAACUUUAUGGUCAACUAAUAUUUGACAAAGGAGGAAAGACUAUCCACUGGAAAAAAGACAAGUCCCUUCAAUAAGUGGUGCUGGGAAAAUUGGACAUCCACAUGCAGAAGAAUGAAACUAGACCACUCUCUUGCACCAUACACAAAGAUAAACUCAAAAUGGAUGAAAGAUCUUAAUGUGAGACAAGAUUCCAUCAAAAUCCUAGAGGAGAACACAGGCAACACCCUUUUUGAACUUGGCCACAGUAACUUCUUGCAAGAUAUGUCCACGAAGGCAAAAGCAACAAAAGCAAAAAUGAACUACUGGGACUUCAUCAAGAUAAGAAGCUUUUGCACAGCAAAGGAUACAGUCAACAAAACUCAAAGACAACCUACAGAAUGGGAGAAGAUAUUUGCAAAUGACGUAUCAGAUAAAGGGCUAGCUUCCAAGAUCUAUAAAGAACUUAUUAAACUCAACACCAAAGAAACAAACAAUCCAAUCAUGAAAUGGGCAAAAGACAUGAACAGAAAUUUCACAGAGGAAGACACAGACAUGGCCAACAGGGACAUGAGAAAAUGCUCCGCAUCACUUGCCAUCAGGGAAAUACAAAUCAAAACCACAAUGAGAUACCACCUCACACCAGUGAGAAUGGGGAAAAUUAACAAGGCAGGAAACCACAAAUGUUGGAGAGGAUGCGGAGAAAAGGGAACCCUCUUACACUGUUGGUGGGAAUGUGAACUAGUGCAGCCACUCUGGAAAUCUGUGUGGAGGUUCCUCAGAGUUAAAAAUAGAACUGCUCUAAGACCCAGCCAUUGCACUGCUGGGGAUUUACCCCAAAGAUUCAGAUGCAAUGAAACGCCAGGACACCUGCACCCUGACGUUUCUAGCAGCAAUGUCCACAAUAGCCAAACUGCGGAAGGAGCCUCGGUGUCCAUCGAAAGAUGAAUGGAUAAAGAAGGUGUGGUUUAUGUAUACAAGGGAAUAUUACUCAGCCAUUAGAAACGACAAAUACCCACCAUUUGCUUCAACGUGGAUGGAACUGGAGGGUAUUAUGCUGAGUGAAGUAAGUCAAUCGGAGAAGGACAAACAUUAUAUAGUCUCAUUCAUUUGGGGAAUAUAAAAAAAAUAGUGAAAGGAAAUAAAGGGGAAAGGAGAAAAAAUGAGUGGGAAAUAUCAGAAAGGGAGACAGAACAUGAGAGACUCCUAACUCUGGGAAAUGAA